Molecule: ribosomal RNA, 375 nt
Filed under: uncultured organism
Description: partial 16S ribosomal RNA
Rfam family: Bacterial small subunit ribosomal RNA
Source: RNAcentral
GUAGGUGGCAAGCGUUGUCCGGGAAUUAUUGGGGCGUAAGGCGCGCGCAGGCGGUUCUUUAAGUCUGAUGUGAAAGCCCACGGGCUCAACCGUGGAGGGUCAUUGGAAACUGGAGAACUUGAGUACAGAAGAGGAAAGCGGAAUUCCACGUGUAGCGGUGAAAUGCGUAGAGAUGUGGAGGAACACCAGUGGCGAAGGCGGCUUUCUGGUCUGUAACUGACGCUGAGGCGCGAAAGCGUGGGGAGCAAACAGGAUUAGAUACCCUGGUAGUCCACGCCGUAAACGAUGAGUGCUAAGUGUUAGGGGGCUUCCGCCCCCUAGUGCUGCAGCUAACGCAUUAAGCACUCCGCCUGGGGAGUACGGCCGCAAAGGCUG